Molecule: long non-coding RNA, 1606 nt
Organism: Ursus thibetanus thibetanus
Lineage: Eukaryota; Metazoa; Chordata; Mammalia; Carnivora; Ursidae
Source: Ensembl
AGCAACUGUAGCUAAAGGAAUUAGAACAGGGAGAACUUGCUGCCAGGGACAAAAGGAAGCAAACAGCCCAGGCUGAUGGUGCACCAGAGCCAGAUCUAAAGCUUUGGGAAGGAGUAUGGAUCUACAGUGUGACUGUCAGUGCAGCUGAUAAGCAAAACCUCUACUCCAAUUUCUGCAACCUAGGGAAACAUUUUAAAUUUUAACCUGGAUUUCAUUAAAAUGUUUCUUCAGCUGUGUGAAGGGCUGUGAAGAAGUGGGAGAAAGAGCAGAGUGUGACAAAAAUAUGACAAAGGAGUUAAGAAAAACAUUUCAGGAACAAAGAGAACUAAUUAACUCAAGCAUAUGGUUCAUCUCAUUCUGGUAAGAGCUAAAUGCCUUUUAUGCACUCCAACUGUUCAAAGUACCAUGGUGUGGCUACCCAUAUGAUCAUAAAGAGAGAAACUAUUAAAAAGCAUUGAAAUUCAUAAUGCAUACUAUAUUUUACAUAAUAAUAAUCCUUUCCUUCCUAAUGUGUCGUUCCAAUAUAUUAAAAUUUCUGGUUAAUUAGAAAUUUUUAAAAAAUGAUGACAAAUAUAAUAUAUGCCAAAGUUGAGUAGAUUUCUUUUAGUGUUUCAGAAAUAUCAGUGGUUAAAAAAUAGUUAUUCCUUAAUUCUAUGAAGAUUGAAGUAAAUAAUGUGCAGAAAAAUGUAAUGAAUCUUUACUACUUCCGGACAUUUCUCUAAGUGUAUUCUCUAAGUGUAAUAGCUUCGAAAAUUCUUUUGUGAACGACCUCUUUCUCUUAAAUGUGUAUUUUAGAAUACAAGGAAGGCAUCAUAGUAAAUUGAGUUUUGAAUGAGAUUCACACUCCUAUAUAAUUUCUGUUUAACACAAAAUAUUUCCAAUCUAAUUAUUUCAAAGCAACAUCUUCAGAAGAAACAUUAAAUUUUUUAAUUAAAAAAAUUUUAAAUUAUUUUUAUUCUUUCCCAAACUAAAUACUUCAUUUUCUAUUGAUAUUUACUGGAGAGUGUUGUUACUGGUCAUUCUGAAUACCCAUGCCCUGCUAUUGUCCUAAGUAGACCAAGUAGUGAAUGAAGAUUUGCUCUUAUUCUCUACAAAAGGUUAUUUUCUGCCUUAAGUAUCUGCCAGGGGCUCCCUAAUUUGUGAUCUUCUCAAAAGUGUGACUCAAACCUCAUCUACCUCUCAGUCAUCCUCAGACUUGAGCUGACAUCGGAAUCUCCUGCGGGCUUGUUCAAACACAGAGUGCUGGGUUGCACCCCCAGAGUUUCUGAUUCAGUAGGUCUCAGGUGGGACCUGAGAGUUGUGUUUCUGACAUGUCACAGAUAAUACUGGUGUUGCUUGCUGGUCCAGGGACUAUACUUGAGAACCUCUGUGUUUGAGGAAAUCUUCCCUGAAAAACCAAACUCUGAUCAGUUGCAUAUCCUGAGAGCUCUUAGCAUUCAUCAUCGAAGUGUAGUAUAUACAUUUUAACAUUCAGUGAUACAUUUCAAAAUUAUUUUCAAAUCUUAUUUAAUUUGUAAAUUCAGUAACAAUAAGAAUGAUCCUAUUUCUUCUGUGUUUUUCAGUGUAUCAGGUACUUUGUCCCUCAUAAAAUGCCGUUUUUUAGCAG